GACGAACGCUGGCGGCGUGCUUAACACAUGCAAGUCGAACGGAAAGGCCCUGCUUUUGUGGGGUGCUCGAGUGGCGAACGGGUGAGUAACACGUGAGUAACCUGCCCUUGACUUUGGGAUAACUUCAGGAAACUGGGGCUAAUACCGGAUAGGAGCUCCUGCUGCAUGGUGGGGGUUGGAAAGUUUCGGCGGUUGGGGAUGGACUCGCGGCUUAUCAGCUUGUUGGUGGGGUAGUGGCUUACCAAGGCUUUGACGGGUAGCCGGCCUGGGAGGGUGACCGGCCACAUUGGGACUGAGAUACGGCCCAGACUCCUACGGGAGGCAGCAGUGGGAAAUAUUGCACAAUGGGCGGAAGCCUGAUGCAGCAACGCCGCGUGCGGGAUGACGGCCUUCGGGUUGUAAACCGCUUUCGCCUGUGACGAAGCGUGAGUGACGGUAAUGGGUAAAGAAGCACCGGCUAACUACGUG
Molecule: ribosomal RNA, 468 nt
Filed under: uncultured bacterium
Lineage: Bacteria
Description: partial 16S ribosomal RNA
Rfam family: Bacterial small subunit ribosomal RNA
Source: RNAcentral